AUGCAGUCGAGCGGUAAGGCCCUUCGGGGUACACGAGCGGCGAACGGGUGAGUAACACGUGAGCAACCUGCCCCUGACUCUGGGAUAAGCGGUGGAAACGCCGUCUAAUACCGGAUACGACCCGCCACCUCAUGGUGGAGGGUGGAAAGUUUUUCGGUCAGGGAUGGGCUCGCGGCCUAUCAGCUUGUUGGUGGGGUAACGGCCUACCAAGGCGAUUACGGGUAGCCGGCCUGAGAGGGCGACCGGCCACACUGGGACUGAGACACGGCCCAGACUCCUGCGGGAGGCAGCAGUGGGGAAUAUUGCGCAAUGGGCGAAAGCCUGACGCAGCGACGCCGCGUGGGGGAUGACGGCCUUCGGGUUGUAAACCUCUUUUACCACCAACGCAGGCUUCCAGUUCUCUGGGGGUUGACGGUAGGUGGGGAAUAAGGACCGGCUAACUACGUGCCAGCAGCCGCGGUAAUACGUAGGGUCCGAGCGUUGUCCGGAAUUAUUGGGCGUAAAGAGCUCGUAGGCGGAACGUGUCGCGUCUGCUGUGAAAGACCGGGGCUUAACUCCGGUUUCUGCAGUGGAUACGGGCAUGCUAGAGGUAGGUAGGGGAGACUGGAAUUCCUGGUGUAGCGGUGAAAUGCGCAGAUAUCAGGAGGAACACCGGUGGCGAAGGCGGGUCUCUGGGCCUUACCUGACGCUGAGGAGCGAAAGCAUGGGGAGCGAACAGGAUUAGAUACCCUGGUAGUCCAUGCCGUAAACGUUGGGCGCUAGGUGUGGGGACUUUCCACGGUUUCCGCGCCGUAGCUAACGCAUUAAGCGCCCCGCCUGGGGAGUACGGCCGCAAGGCUAAAACUCAAAGGAAUUGACGGGGGCCCGCACAAGCGGCGGAGCAUGUUGCUUAAUUCGACGCAACGCGAAGAACCUUACCAAGGUUUGACAUCACCCGUGGACUCGCAGAGAUGUGAGGUCAUUUAGUUGGCGGGUGACAGGUGGUGCAUGGCUGUCGUCAGCUCGUGUCGUGAGAUGUUGGGUUAAGUCCCGCAACGAGCGCAACCCUUGUUCCAUGUUGCCAGCACGUAAUGGUGGGGACUCAUGGGAGACUGCCGGGGUCAACUCGGAGGAAGGUGGGGAUGACGUCAAGUCAUCAUGCCCCUUAUGUCUUGGGCUGCAAACAUGCUACAAUGGCCGGUACAAUGGGCGUGCGAUACCGUAAGGUGGAGCGAAUCCCUAAAAGCCGGUCUCAGUUCGGAUUGGGGUCUGCAACUCGACCCCAUGAAGGUGGAGUCGCUAGUAAUCGCGGAUCAGCAACGCCGCGGUGAAUACGUUCCCGGGCCUUGUACACACCGCCCGUCACGUCAUGAAAGUCGGCAACACCCGAAACUUGCGGCCUAACCCCUGUGGGAGGGAG
RNAcentral lists this ribosomal RNA (1399 nucleotides) under Nocardiopsis dassonvillei subsp. dassonvillei. Its description in RNAcentral is "bacterial SSU rRNA". It matches the Rfam family "Bacterial small subunit ribosomal RNA". Lineage: Bacteria; Bacillati; Actinomycetota; Actinomycetes; Streptosporangiales; Nocardiopsidaceae. The record is from RNAcentral.